This 1857-nucleotide long non-coding RNA is filed under the name Apteryx rowi (Okarito brown kiwi). RNAcentral describes it as "lncRNA (ENSARWG00000017014.1)". Lineage: Eukaryota; Metazoa; Chordata; Aves; Apterygiformes; Apterygidae. The record is from RNAcentral.
CCCGGAGGUUCCUGCAGAGCAUUGGUGACAACUUCUUGACACAGGUGGUGGAGGAGCCAACAAGGAGAGGUGUGCUGCUGGACCUCGUACUAACAAACAAAGAAGGACUGGUGGAAGAUGUGAAGGUCGGGGGCAGCCUUGGCUGCAGUGACYRUGAGAUGGUGGAGUUCAGGAUCCUGCRAGGAGGAGGCAGGGCACUAAGUAGGAUCGCAACCCUGGACUUCAGGAGAGCAAACUUUGGCCUCUUCAGGGACCUACUUGGAGGAAUCCCAUGGGUUAGGGCCCUAGAAGGAAGGGGCGUUCAAGAGAGCUGGUUAAUAUUCAAACAUCACCUCCUCUGGGCUCAAGAGCGGUGCAUCCCUAUGAGUAAGAAGUCAAGCAAAGGAGGCAGGAGACCUGCAUGGAUGAGCAAGGAGCUCCUGGCAAAACUCAACCAGAAGAAGGAAGUAUACAGAAAGUGGAAAGGGGGACAGGCCACUUGGGAGGAAUAUAGGAAUGUUGUCAGAGUAUGCAGGGAUGCGACGAGGAAGGCUAAGGCCUGUUUGGAAUUAAAUCUGGCUAGAGAUGUCAAGGACAGCAAGAAGGGCUUCUUCAAAUACAUCAGUAGCAAGAGGAAGACUAGGGAAAAUGUGGGCCCUUUGCUGAAUGGGGUGGGUGCCCUGGUGACGAAGGAUGCAGAGAAGGCAGAGUUACUGAAUGCCGCCUUUGCUUCAGUCUUUACUGCUCAGGCCAGCCCUCAGGAACCCCAGACCCUGGAGGCAAGAGAGAAAGGCUGGAGGAAGGAAGACUUUCCCUUGGUGGAGGAGGAGUGGGUUAGAGAUCAUUUAAGCAAACUUGACACCCACAAAUCCAUGGGCCCUGAUGGGAUGGACCCACGAGUGCUGAGGGAGCUGGCGGACGUUAUUGCUAAGCCACUCUCCAUCAUCUUUGAAAGGUCAUGGAGAACAGGAGAGGUGCCUGAGGACUGGAAGAAAGCCAAUGUCACCCCAGCCUUCAAAAAGGGCAAGAAGGAGGACCCAGGGAACUACAGGCCAGUCAGCCUCCCCUGCAUCCCUGGAAAGGUGAUGGAGCAGCUCAUCCUGGAGGCCAUCUCCAAGCAUGUGGAGGACAAGAAGGUGAUCAGGAGUAGUCAGCAUGGCUUCACCAAGGGGAAAUCAUGCUUAACCAACCUGAUAGCCUUCUCUGAUGGAAUGACUGGCUGGGUAGAUGAGGGGAGAGCAGUGGAUGUUGUCUACCUAGACUUCAGCAAGGCUUUUGACACUGUCUCCCAUGACAUCCUCAUAGACAAGCUCAGGAAGUGUGGGCUGGAUGAGCGGACAGUGAGGUGGAUUGAGAACUGGCUGAAUGGCAGAGCUCAGAGAGUUGUGAUCAGUGGCACAGAGUCUAGUUGGAGGCUGUAGCUAGCGGUGUCCCCCAGGGGUCAGUACUGGGUCCAGUCUUGUUCAACUUCUUCAUCAAUGACCUGCAUGAAGGGACAGAGUGCACCCUCAGCAAGUUUGCCGAUGAUACAAAACUGGGAGGAGUGGCCGAUGCACCAGAGGGCUGUGCUGCCAUUCAGAGAGACCUGGACAGGCUGGAGAGGUGGGCAGAGAGGAACCUCAUGAAGUUCAACAAAGGCAAGUGCAGGGUCCUGCACCUAGGGAGGAACAACCCCCUGCACCAGUACAGGUUGGGGGUUGACCUGCUGGAAAGCAGCUCUGCGGAGAAGGACCUGGGAGUGCUGGUGGACACCAAGUUAAGCAUGAGGCAGCAAUGUGCCCUUGUGGCCAAGAAGGCCAAUGGUAUCCUGGGGUGCAUCAGGAAGAGUGUUGCCAGCAGGUCGAGGGAGGUGAUCCUGCCCCUCUCCUCAGCCCUGGU